This 494-nucleotide ribosomal RNA is filed under the name uncultured bacterium. RNAcentral describes it as "partial 16S ribosomal RNA". It matches the Rfam family "Bacterial small subunit ribosomal RNA", at positions 28 to 507 of the family's 1533-position model. The record is from RNAcentral.
GACGAACGCUGGCGGCGUGCUUAACACAUGCAAGUCGAACGGUGAAGCGCCUUCCUUUUUGGUGGGUGUGGAUGAGUGGCGAACGGGUGAGUAACACGUGAGUAACCUGCCCCCUUCUUCUGGAUAACCGCAUGAAAGUGUGGCUAAUACGGGAUAUUCUGGGUCUGUCGCAUGAUGGGUCUGGGAAAGAUAUUGAUUCGGUGGGGGAUGGGCUCGCGGCCUAUCAGCUUGUUGGUGGGGUGAUGGCCUACCAAGGCGGUGACGGGUAGCCGGCCUGAGAGGGUGGACGGUCACACUGGGACUGAGACACGGCCCAGACUCCUACGGGCGGCAGCAGUGGGGAAUAUUGCACAAUGGGCGCAAGCCUGAUGCAGCGACGCCGCGUGAGGGAUGGAGGCCUUCGGGUUGUGAACCUCUUUCGCCAGUGAAGCAGGCCUGCCUCGUUUGUGGGUGGGUUGACGGUAGCUGGAUAAGAAGCGCCGGCUAACUACGUG